CAUCACCACCUUCACCAUACUACUACAAGUCUCCACCACCACCGCUUAAGUCACCUCCUCCCCCAUACUAUUACAGCUCUCCACCACCACCAGUGAAGUCUCCCCCUCCACCAUACUACUACUCCUCGCCACAACCACCAAAGAAAUCACCUCCCCCAUCAUAUCACUAUACUUCUCCACCACCACCUGUUAAGUCACCACCUCCUCCAUACUAUUACAGCUCCCCACCACCACCAAAGAAAUCACCUCCCCCAUCAUAUCACUAUACUUCUCCACCACCACCUGUUAAGUCACCACCUCCUCCAUACUAUUACAGCUCCCCAUCACCACCAAAGAAAUCACCUCCUCCGCCAUAUUACUACAGUUCCCCACCACCACCAGUGAAGUCACCUCCAACUCCAUACUACUACAAGUCUCCUCCACCACCACCAAAGAAAUCUUCUCCCCCACCAUACUACUACAAUUCACCACCACCACCAACUCAUUACUAUCCUCCACAUCAUCAAUUCGUGGUCAAAGUUGUCGGAAAAGUAUAUUGUUUUAGAUGUUACGACUGGAAGCACCCAGAGAUGUCUCACAGCAAGAAACACCUGAAAGGUAUCACAAUAUAAUUUAUACAACACUCGCAUUCCUUAUUUUCCUUUAAUAUAUCAUCAAAAAUAUAUUUAACUAUAUAUUUUCUUUUUUGUUGCUUUCUUCCUUACGCUCUUAAAAGAAUUCAUAAAUGUGUAUCUUUAUUUGGAUCUUUGAUCCAUUUCUGUUUUUCCAAAUGUGAAGUAACAUUAAAAUUUAAAGAGUCAAGAAAUUUUAUAAGGCAAGGACUAUAUCUAUAAUUGUGACUACAGAGUAAAACAUAUUGAAAAUGAAGGUACUCCGUUCUUUCUUGCAAAUGAAGAAUUAAUAUUGAGUGUGAUUCAUUCUCACAUUGGCUGACAAAAGUCUGUACACAUUGGCACACAAGUUGCCAUUAACAUGCAGUUUGUUUCCCUUAUUAGAUUACAAAAUAUUCUUUAUCGUGUGAUGAGAAGGUUUGUUUUAUUUCAUAUUAUGAGGUAAAAAGUGCUCGGAUCUAAAUGAUCAUCAUUAGUAUUGGAGUUAAUUAACGUUAAUUGUUACAUGAAUUAGGUGCUGUUGUUGAAGUCACUUGCAAGGCUGGUGACAAGAAAAUUGUGAGUUAUGGUACCACAAAGAUCAAUGGCAAAUUUAUCAUCACGGUUGAAGGAUUUGAAUAUCGCAAAUAUGGAGCAAAGGCUUGCAAGGCUAAACUCCACAAUGCUCCAAAGGAUUCAAAGUGUAGCAUUCCUACAAAUCUUCAUUGGGGAAUUAAGGGUGCUAACCUCAAAGUGAAAUCAAAGAAUAGUUAUGAAGUUGUACUUUAUGCAAAACCAUUUGCUUAUGGAUCUAAGACACCUUACGCAGAAUGCCAAAAGCCCAAGCCUACACCUGCUCCAUACUAUUAUAAAUCUCCUCCACCUCCAUCACCGACUUAUGUGUACAAGUCACCACCUCCUCCAUCACCAAAGUAUGUGUACAAGUCACCACCUCCCCCAACCCCGACAUAUGUUUAUAAGUCUCCACCACCACCUGCUUACUAUUACAAAUCACCGCCGCCACCAACUAAGUCUCCACCACCUCAUUAUUAUUACAAGUCUCCACCUCCACCAUCACCAAAACCUGCACCAGUAUACUAUUAUAAAUCACCACCACCCCCAUCACCGUCGCCACCCCCACCUUACUACUACAAGUCCCCGCCACCCCCAUCACCAAAACCUGCACCUGUUUACUAUUAUAAAUCACCACCACCCCCAUCACCGUCACCACCCCCACCUUACUACUACAAGUCCCCGCCACCCGCAUCACCAAAACCUGCACCUGUUUACUAUUAUAAAUCACCACCACCCCCAUCACCGUCACCACCCCCACCUUACUACUACAAGUCCCCACCACCACCAUCACCUUCUCCCCCACCUCCCUACUACUAUAAGUCUCCUCCACCACCAUCGCCAUCUCCUCCUCCACCAUACUAUUAUAAGUCCCCUCCUCCACCAACUCCAUCUCCACCCCCACCCUACUACUAUAAAUCUCCUCCACCACCAUCACCAUCUCCUCCACCUCCAUACUACUACAAGUCCCCUCCUCCUCCAUCGCCAUCUCCCCCUCCACCAUACUAUUACAAGUCACCACCGCCACCAUCGUCAUCACCUCCACCACCCUACUACUACAAGUCUCCUCCUCCUCCAUCACCUUCUCCCCCUUCACCAUACUACUACAAGUCACCACCACCUCCAUCGCCAUCUCCACCACCACCCUACUAUUACAAGUCCCCUCCUCCACCAUCCCCAUCACCACCUCCACCCUACUACUACAAGUCGCCUCCUCCACCGUCACCUUCUCCACCACCUCCCUACUACUAUCACUCUCCACCUCCACCAGUAAAGUCUCCUCCUCCUUAUUACUACACCUCACCACCUCCACCAGUGAAAUCACCUCCUCCACCCGUAUAUAUUUACGCUUCCCCACCUCCUCCAAUCCACUACUAAGAGUUUCCAGCAGUUCAGCCAUUCUCCGCACUCAAUCAAGUGAGUAGUUGUUUAAAUUGUAAUUUUUUUCAUAUGAGAUCAAUUUUUUUUCAUUACGACUCUAAUCUUCUAUUUGAUUGUUUCUUUUCAGAUUUUAGUUGGAAACACAAAAUAAAUGAUGGCUUCUUGAGGAAAAGAUUCAAACAUCAAUGGAACAAAGCAAUUAAUUUAUGGAAUAAGACAUUCAAUUUUUCAAUUGAAGGAUUGAUUCUAAGUUACAUGGACCAGUUUGGUUCUACUUCUCUUUUAGCCUUCUUGCACAUUGUUCUCUUAGUGCGUUCACACAUGAACGUGUCUAAGCUUUGAUGCUUCUUAGAGUUCAUUUCUUCGUAAUUUAUUGUUUUAUAUUGAGGACACUGUCCUCAUUUUAUUCAUUCCUAUUAAUUAUUGUAUGUUGUUCUUUUGUAAUACCUUCAUGUACUUUGUGCACAAAUCAAUAAAAAGAUCAAUUUCAUUACAUGCACUUUCAUUUCUUUCUUCUACAUCUUUCCCCUCUUCACAAAUGUUACAAACAAAUUAAAUUAUCUUCUCCAAAUAUAUCUAAGCAAAUUGAAGAUUUUCACCAUGCUUGUGAUCAGUUGGUACAAGAGUAUCACACUUAGGUUUCGAAUAUGUUGAGCAUGUCACAUAGCGCAUUUGGUAAUAGUUGGUACAAGAUUCAGAUAAUGCCCAUAGUAACGCACAUUUGCAUUUACCAGUAAUAAACUCUAUCAACAUCAGCGUUGUUUUAUACCAGCUAGCUUGAGUCCGCGUCAGAGAAUAUACAUAUCCUGUCUACUCUACAGAUCAACAGGAAAGGAAAGUAAAACAGGGAAAUAGAUAUUAAUUAAUUUGGCUAAAUAAGUCAAAGUUGCUGCAAUUAUUUGUAAAUGUAGGACACCACAUAAUUUAAUAUCAUAGAAUAUAUGCACUAGCCUUUUUCUAGAAAUUUCCAUGUCUUACGAGUUUUGUAAGGUGAUACAGAGAUAUGCUUAUCAGCCCACACCCUGGCAAUUGAAAACAAAAUGGUAAGAGAGUGGAAGUAUUAAAAAAUAGCACUUUCUUUCCUUUAAGCCAUUACAUGGCAUGUGUUUUUGUGUGCUUCAUAUGGUGUGUUCCCAUAUACAGCAAGUAACAAACUACUUAUUGAAAAGAAAAUGUAGAAAUAUACAAAGUGAUACAGAGAUGGACUUUAAUAAAUAAGAUGACAACUUGUAGAUCCAGCUGGUAAGAACUAUUAAUAUUCUUUUUGCACUUUGAUUAUCAAUUAGAGCAAUUGAAUUGGUCCUUUAGACAGCUCUUUACUAACAACUACUUCUAAAGGUGUGUUACUAUAAAUGCAUAGGCCAAUGAAUCCCCAAACCUGCCAAGGGUCGUCGACAUUUGCCACAAAUCUUAGUGGCAUUGGCCAUAUUGGCUGUUGCUAAUGUAGUGUCAGCAGACCCUUAUGUGUACUCUUCUCCACCACCUCCAACGUAUGAGUACAAGUCACCACCACCUCCUUCGCCUUCUCCACCGCCACCUUAUGUGUACAAAUCUCCACCUCUUCCAUCACCUUCUGCCCCACCACCAUAUGUGUAUAAGUCUCCACCUCCUCCGUCACCAUCUCCACCACCACCCUAUGUGUAUAAGUCUCCGCCACCUCCAUCGCCAUCUCCACCACCACCAUAUGUGUAUAAGUCUCCCCCACCUCCAUCGCCAUCUCCACCACCACCAUAUGUUUAUAAGUCACCACUUCCUCCUUCUCCAUCACCACCUCCACCAUAUGUGUAUAAGUCUCCACCGCCUCCAUCGCCAUCUCCACCACCACCGUAUGUGUAUAAGUCUCCACCUCCUCCGUCACCGUCUCCACCACCACCCUAUGUAUAUAAGUCUCCCCCACCACCAUCACCAUCUCCACCUCCACCAUAUUACUACAAGUCCCUUCCUCCACCAUCACCUUCACCACCACCUCCAUAUUACUACAAGUCACCACCUCCAAUGGAUGUUCUAACCAAUUUUCGCACACCUCGACUAAUUCCACCGGAUACCAGUUAGCUUUCACUAGCAACAUGUAUCAAAUAAUUUUGUCCAUCGAGACUAGAACAAAUGGCAAGAAUCACCUAGUGCUUUUUGUCUCUAAUGAAAUUUGAACCUAAGAUCUCAUGAUUUUGAAUCCACCAAGGCUUCUACAUAAUUUAAUAGUACAAAAAAUUGAUAGACAAAAACGACAUACCUAGUGAGCUCCAACAAGUAAGGUCUGAAGAGGGUAAAGUAUACGCAAACCUUACCAGUAGCUUGAGGAGGUAGAGAGAUUGUUUUCGAAAGACCCUCGACUUAAGUGUAGCAAAUUAAUGUUUAAAAUUUCUAAGUGGGCAAUAAGUAAUUUCUUAAGCCAUCACCAGAGAUGAGAAAACAAAUUUUCGUGUAGCUUUGCAAAAAAAAGAAAAAAAAAAUUACUUUGGCUUGAUAAAGGUAAAGGAAAAAAAAAAACACAAAAUUAGUCACUAUAUAGAAAAUUAGCAUUGUUUAAUUUCCUUUUUGGUAAUCCAAUUAUGAAAACAAAUUGUGAAAUCUUCCUAGGGUUCGACACUGAGCAUGGAGAAAACUCUGUUGGGAGCGCUACCCUCCGAAUGGGGUCCUACCCGGCGCGAAUCCGGAUUAGUCGGGCUCCAAUGCGAGUACCGGACACUGGAUGAAAAACCAAAAAAAAAAAAAGUGAAAUCUUAGUGAUUUUUUCUAUCUAAUGAAUCAAAAUCUGCUUUAAAGUCAUCUAUCUUAUACGUAUCUCCGAGUAUAUGAGUGUGUUCUUACUACGAAAAAGAAAUAAUAAAAUAUAUGAUUCUCGAAACUCUCACUCAUUCUCUCCUUUCUUUUGUCUAAACAAUUUCAUUGACUAUAUGUGGAACAACUCGACAUAAAUUCGACAUAAUCGACACCUCAGAAUUUGAUCACCUCAACUCCAUUAUAUUUGAAUCCAAUAACAUUUCAAACCUAUAAACUUCAAAUUCCGAAUCUGUUUGUUUCCAAAGUCAACCACACUACUAACAUAGGCCUGCUAAGAAAAAUAGAAAUAACAAAGAAACAGACAAGAAGACCAAAUAAUUCUAUGAUCUCAAUGUUCAUAAGAUGCUUCCAUGUGGCAACAGAAUAACAAAAAAACUAUGUCAAUAGAGUAAGUGGAAAUAUUCAAAACCCAUCGUCAGGCCCCUUAAAUACGCGUCAUCUUUCAAUUAGGCACCUCAAGUGAACAUUGGUUCAUUUUGGCAUCUCAAGCGGCCUUCAAGUGUGUCACUUCAACACGUUUUGCUGAAUCAGCAAAAUAAUAUUAGUGCGUGAGCUACACUCUCCGCUGAGCUGGAAAGUGACGAAUAAAAUGCGGACACGUGUUAUUUUUGUCCAAAUAAUUUAUAAAUAAUAAAUUUUAAAUAAAAAAUACCCAAAUAAUUUAUAAAUAAUUAAUUUAAAUAAAAAAUACCCCCUCCCCCUAACCUACCCACCCCACCAACCUUCUUCUUCAAACACCCCAUCCACCCCACCAAAUUUUUUUCAUCGAUCUUGCUUCGAUUUUUAAUUUUUCUUCACUGAUUUUACUUGAUUUUUAGAUUUUCUUCAUGAAUUUAACUUCAUUUUUUUCAGAUUUGCUUCAUCUAUUUUGCUUCAAUUUUUAGUUUUUUUAAUUGAUUUUGUUUGAUUUUAAUUUUUCUUCACGGAUUUAGCUUUAUUUUUUAAUUUCUUUCAUCAAUUUUGCUCCGAUUUUCAAAUUUUCUUCACUGAUUUUUCUUGGUUUUUAUGCUUCAAUUUUGAUUUUUUUUUAUUGAUUUUGUUUGAUUUCAAUUUUUCUUCACUGAUUUGGCUUUAUUUUUCUAUUUUUCUUCAUCGAUUUUGUUUGAUUUUUAGUUUUUCUUCAUUGAUGUUGCUUAUUUUUUAUUUUUAUUCAUCAAUUUUGCCCUUAAUGAUAAAAAAAAAGGUGCUUAUCAUUUAAUCAUCACAAACCUUUAAAUGCGUAGAUAAAUUUCUCUCAAUAAUUCUUACCGUUAAAUAAAUUAAGAUUGACAAAAAUAACGGAUAAAAAUGCGAAAGAAUUAUAAAUUAAUGGGCAUUGAGUUAAUAUAUUGUUUUUGGCAAGACGAACUCCUAAAUAUGUAUCUAAUUUUUAAAUCUCUCUCAAUAAUUUCUACCAUUAAAUAAGCUUAAGAUUGACAAAAAAGAUGGAUAAAAAUAAGGAAAAAGGUAUAAAUUAAUUAAAAUGAGUUAAUAUAUUGUUGGUGGGCCAAUUUGGGCGCCACAACAGCCAAAAACAGGCUUUCAUGCGCCUUUUCGGAGUGUUCCGCACGAGUUUUGCCAACCAGGCAAAAGGUGCCAAAAUGGCACACUUUAAGGCCACUUGAAGUGCCAAAAUGAACCAAUGUCCACUUGAGGUGCCUAAAUGAAAGAUCGCGUGUACUUGAGAUGCCUGGCGAUGAGUUUUCCCUAAAAAUUAUCAAUCAAUGUCUAUGCACAUUCAUAUGUUGUAUCUCAUUUUCUAUGUAGUAGGUAACAAACUACUAGUUGUUAUAAAGAUAAAAGUUGGAAAACUGGAAAUAUUCAAAGUGAUACAAAGAUGGACUUUUAAUAAACAAGAUGUAAAACUUGUAGAUCCAGCUGUUAAGAGUAGUUUAAUAUACUUUUUACACAUUGAUUGUUAAUUAGAGCUAUUGAAUUGGUCAUUUAGACAGCUCUUUACUAACAACUAGUGUGUUAAUAUAAAUAGAUAGGCCAAUGAACCCUCUAAAGGCAUCAGUUCUCAACUGAAAAACUAAACUUGUCUUCUUUUUUCUUCCCUUAACUAGCCACAUUUGGGAGGCUAGGUGGUGUAUUUUCCGGCAAAAUGAGGCUUCACGGUGGCGGCCCUGCCAAGGGUCGUCGAUAUUUGCCACAAAUUUUAGUGGCGUUGGCCAUAUUGGCUGUUGCUAAUGUAGUGUCAGCAGACCCUUAUGUGUACUCUUCUCCACCACCUCCAACGUAUGAGUACAAGUCACCACCACCUCCUUCGCCAUCUCCACCGCCACCUUAUGUGUACAAAUCUCCACCUCCUCCAUCACCUUCUCCCCCACCACCAUAUGUGUAUAAGUCUCCACCUCCUCCGUCACCAUCUCCACCACCACCCUAUGUGUAUAAGUCUCCGCCACCUCCAUCGCCAUCUCCACCACCACCAUAUGUGUAUAAGUCUCCAUCACCUCCAUCGCCAUCUCCACCACCACCAUAUGUGUAUAAGUCUCCCCCACCUCCAUCGCCAUCUCCACCUCCACCAUAUUACUACAAGUCUCCUCCCCCACCAUCACCUUCACCACCACCUCCAUAUUACUACAAGUCGCCACCUCCAUCUUCACCAUCACCUCCACCACCAUACUAUUACAAAUCUCCACCACCGCCCUCACCAUCACCACCCCCGCCAUACAAUUAUAAGUUUCCACCACCACCUUCUCCUUCACCUCCUCCACCAUACUACUACUCCUCGCCGCCGCCGCCGCCACCAAAGAAAUCACCUCCCCCACCAUAUCACUAUACUUCUCCACCACCACCUGUUAAGUCACCACCUCCUCCAUACUACUACAGCUCUCCACCACCACCAGUGAAGUCUCCCCCUCCACCAUACUACUACUCCUCGCCGCCGCCGCCGCCACCAAAGAAAUCACCUCCCCCACCAUAUCACUAUACUUCUCCACCACCACCUGUUAAGUCACCACCUCCUCCAUACUACUACAGCUCUCCACCACCAACAUCGCCAUCCCCUCCACCUCCAUACUACUACAAGUCCCCUCCUCCACCAUCUCCAUCACCACCUCCACCCUACUACUACAAGUCUCCUCCUCCUCCUUCGCCUUAUCCCCCUCCCCCAUACUAUUACAAGUCACCACCACCUCCAUCGCCAUCUCCUCCACCACCCUACUACUACAAGUCACCACCGCCACCAUCCCCAUCACCACCUCCACCCUACUACUACAAGUCUCCUCCUCCUCCUUCGCCUUAUCCCCCUCCCCCAUACUAUUACAAGUCACCACCACCUCCAUCGCCAUCUCCUCCACCACCCUACUACUACAAGUCCCCUCCUCCACCAUCUCCAUCACCACCUCCACCCUACUACUACAAGUCGCCUCCUCCACCGUCACCUUCUCCACCACCUCCCUACUAUUACCACUCUCCACCUCCACCAGUAAAGUCUCAUCCUCCUCCUUAUUACUACAGCUCACCACCACCACCAGUGAAAUCACCUCCUCCACCCGUAUAUAUUUACGCUUCCCCACCACCUCCAGUCCACUACUAAGAGUUUCCAGCAGUUCAGCCAUUCUCCACGCUCAAUCAAGUGAGUAGUUGUUUAAAUUAGUAAAAAAAAUUUCAUAUGAGAUCAACUUUUUUUAGCACGGCUCUAAUCUUCUAUCUGAUUGUUUCUUUUUAGAUUUUAGUUGGAAACACAAAAUAAAUGAUGGCUUCUUGAGGAAAAGAUUCAAACGUCAAUGGAACAAAGCAAUUAAUUUAUGGAAUAAGACAUUCAAUUUUUCAAUUGAAGGAUUGAUUCUUAGUUACAUGGACCAGUUUGGUUCUACUUCUCUUUUAGCCUUCUUGCACAUUGUUCUCUUAGUGCGUUCACACAUGAACGUAUCUAAGCUUUGAUGCUUCUUAGAAUUCAUUUCUUCGUAAUUUAUUGUUUUAUAUUGAGGACACUGUCCUCAUUUUAUUCAUUCCUAUUAAUUAUUGUAUGUUGUUCUUUUGUAAUUCCUUCAUGUACUUUGUGCACAAAUCAAUAAAAAGAUCAAUUUCAGUACAUUCACUCUCUUUUCUUUCUUCUAUAUCUUUCCCCUCACAAAUGUUACAAACAACUUAAAUUAAUCUUCUCCAAAUAUAUCUAAGCAAAUUGGAGAUGAAAAUACCUACAAUUAUUUUAAAAUAUUUAAUAGUUUAAUGUAGAAGUAGUUCAUGACAUGACUAUAAGUAAAACACCUAAAAAAGCACCUCUGUGUUACCAAAAUGAACUGGGUACCUCUUACCAAAAUUAUAAAGAUGACAAUACAAAAAUGGAAGAAAAGCCAGUUUCCUUUUCUUUUUUUUUUGGUUGCAACAGAAAUUCUAACUGUUGCCUCCACAUGCAGUUGAUCUCAUCAUUGAGCAUUCACACGAAUUUCUAAGAUUAUUACAAUGAAGAGAUCAAAAAGGCUAUAAUAUGAUGCUUUGAAUAGUAAGCAAAAAUGAAUGAAAAUAUCAAAAUACUUUUGAAUAACUUAUUUCAUGAACUGACGCUUCUGAAAUAAAUAAUAAAACAUUUCCGAAUAACGAAAAUUUGUGAAACUUAUUUUUAAAUUACAUAAAUACACUCGGUAUGUUGUUUACACUGGCCUCCCCAUACCACUUAUCGGAUUACACCGGGUAUGUUGUUCUUGCAGUUGUAAAUGCGGAUUUGGUGAAACAAUUCAAUGUCAAAAAAAAAAGAAAAAAGAACAACAUUUCUAGUUGGCAACAAAUAAUUUGAAGCAAUCAAUAUACAUAUUUGUAAUUUAUAAACCAUGUAUCCAUCAGACCAUCACAGUAAAAAAGGUUAUUUUAAGUUAUCAAGGUUCUUGCGACCAACUAGUGAUCCAAAAAGAAAAUAAAUCACCUAUUCACUAACAAAUUGAAGAUUUUCACCAUGCUUGUGAUCAGUUGGUACAAGAGUAUCAUACUUAGGUUUCGAAUAUGUUGAGCAUGUCACAUGGCGCAUUUGGUAAAAGUUGGUAAAAGAUUCAGACAAUGCCACAGUAACGCACCUUAGCAUUUACCAGUAAUAAACUCUAUCAACAUCAGCGUUGUUUUAUACCAGCUAGCUUGAGUCCGCGUCAGAGAAUACACAUAUCCUGUCUCCUCUACAACAGGAAAGUAAAACAGGGGAAGAGAUAUUAAUUAAUUUGGCUAAAUAAGUCAAAGUUGCUGCAAUUAUUUGUAAAUGUAGGACACCACAUAAUUUAAUAUCAUAGAAUAUAUGCACUAGCCUUUUUCUAGAAAUUUCCAUGUCUUACAAGUUUUGUAAGGUGAUACAGAGAUAUGCUUAUCAGCCCACACCCUGGCAAUUGAAAACAAAAUGGCAAGAGAGUGGAAGUAUUAAAAAAUAGCACUUUCUUUCCUUUAAGCCAUUACAUGGCAUGUGUUUUUGUGCGCUUCAUACGUUGUGUUCCCAUAUACAGCAAGAAACAGACUACUAGUUGUUAUAAAGAUAAAGUUGGAAAACUGGAAAUAUUCAAAGUGAUACAAAGGGAGACUUUUAAUAAAUAAGCUGUAAAACUUGUAGAUCCAGCUGUUAAGAGUUGUUUAAUUUACACUUUGAUUGUUAAUUAGAGCAAUUGAAUUGGUCAUUUAGACAGCUCUUUACUAACAACUAGUUUUCAAGGUGUGUUACUAUAAAUACAUAGGCCAAUGAAUCCUCUAAAGGCAUCACUUCUCAACUGAAAAAACUAAACUUGUCUUCUUUCUUCUUCCCUUGACUAGCCACAUUUGGGAGGCUAGGUGGCGUAUUUUCCGGAAAAAUGAGGCUUCACGGUGGCGGCCCUGCCAAGGGUCAUCGACAUUUGCCACAAAUCUUAGUGGCAUUGGCCAUAUUGGCUGUUGCUAAUGUAGUGUCAGCAGACCCUUAUGUGUACUCUUCUCCACCACCUCCAACGUAUAAGUCACCACCACCUCCUUCGCCUUCUCCACCGCCACCUUAUGUGCACAAAUCUCCACCUCCUCCAUCACCUUCUCCCCCGCCUCCAUAUGUUUAUAAGUCACCACCUCCUCCUUCUCCAUCUCCACCACCACCUUAUGUGUAUAAGUCUCCCCCACCACCAUCACCAUCUCCACCUCCACCAUAUUACUACAAGUCCCCUCCUCCACCAUCACCUUCACCACCACCACCAUAUUACUACAAGUCGCCACCUUCACCAUCAUCUCCACCACCAUACUAUUACAAAUCUCCACCCCCGCCCUCACCAUCACCACCCCCGCCAUACAAUUAUAAGUCUCCGCCACCACCUUCUCUUUCACCUCCUCCACUAUACUACUACAAAUCUCCACCACCUCCUUCACCAUCUCCUCCUCCACCUUAUUACUACAAGUCUCCACCUCCUCCAUCUCCAUCACCACCUCCACCUUACUACUACAAGUCUCCACCACCACCGGUUAAGUCACCUCCUCCCCCAUACUAUAACAGCUCUCCACCACCACCAGUGAAGUCUCCCCCUCCACCAUACUACUACUCCUCGCCACCACCACCAAAGAAAUCACCUCCCCCACCAUAUCACUAUACUUCUCCACCACCACCUGUUAAGUCACCGCCUCCUCCAUACUAUUACAGCUCCCCACCACCACCAAAGAAAUCACCUCCUCCGCCAUAUUACUACAGUUCCCCACCAUCACCAGUGAAGUCACCUCCAACUCCAUACUACUACAAGUCUCCACCACCACCACCAAAGAAAUCUACUCCCCCACCAUACUACUACACUUCACCACCACCACCAACUCAUUACUAUCCUCCACAUCAUCAAUUCGUGGUCAAAGUUGUCGGAAAAGUCUAUUGUUUUAGAUGCUACGACUGGAAGCACCUAGAAAUGUCUCAUGGCAAGAAACACCUGAAAGGUAUCACAAUAUAAUUUAUACAACACUCGCAUUCUUUAUUUUCCUUUAAAAUAUCAUCAAAAAUAUAUUUAACUAUAUAUUAUCUUUUUUGUUGCUUUGCUCCUUACGCUCUUAAAAGAAUUCAUAAAUGUGUAUCUUUAUUUGGAUCUUUGAUCCAUUUAUGUUUUUCCAAAUCUGAAGUAACAUUAAAAUUUAAAAAGUCAAGAAAUUUUUUAAGGCAAGGACCAUAUCUAUAAUUGUGACUAUAGAGUAAAACAUAUUGAAAAAGAAGGUAUUCUGUUCUUGCUUGCAAAUGAAGAAUUAAUAUCGAGUGUAAUUCAUUCUCACAUUGGCAGACAAAAGUCUGUACACAUUGGCACACAAGUUGCCAUUAACAUGCAGUUUAUUUCCCUUAUUAGAUUACAAAAUAUUUUUUAUAGUGUGAUGAGAAGGUUUGUUUUAUUUCAUAUUAUGAGGUGAAAAGUGCUCGGAUCUAAAUGAUCAUCAUUAGUAUUGGAGUUAAUUAAUGUUUUCUUUUAUGGAUUAGGUGCGGUUGUUGAAGUGACUUGCAAGGCUGGUGACAAGAAAAUUGUGAGUUAUGGUACCACUAAGAUCAAUGGAAAAUUUAGCGUCACAGUAGAAGGAUUUGAAUAUCGCAAAUAUGGAGCAAAGGCUUGCAAGGCUAAACUCCACAAUGCUCCAAAGGACUCAAAGUGCAACAUUCCUACAAACCUUCAUUGGGGAAUAAAGGGUGCUAACCUCAAAGUGAAAUCAAAGAAUAGUUAUGAAGUUGUACUUUAUGCAAAACCAUUUGCUUAUGGAUCUAAAACACCUUAUGCAGAAUGCCAAAAGCCCAAGCCUACACCUGCUCCAUACUAUUAUAAAUCUCCUCCACCUCCAUCACCGACUUAUGUGUACAAGUCACCACCUCCUCCAUCACCAAAGUAUGUGUAUAAUUCACCACCUCCCCCAACCCCGACAUAUGUUUAUAAGUCUCCACCACCACCUGCCUACUAUUACAAAUCACCACCACCACCAACUAAGUCUCCACCUCCACCAUCACCAAAACCUGCACCAGUAUACUAUUAUAAAUCACCACCACCCCCAUCACCGUCACCACCCCCACCUUACUACUACAAGUCCCCGCCACCACCAUCACCGAAACCUGCACCUGUUUACUAUUUUAAAUCACCACCACCCCCAUCACCGUCACCACCCCCACCUUACUACUACAAGUCCCCGCCACCACCAUCACCGAAACCUGCACCUGUUUACUAUUUUAAAUCACCACCACCCCCAUCACCGUCACCACCCCCACCUUACUACUACAGGUCCCCACCACCACUAUCACCAUCUCCUCCACCUCCAUACUACUACAAGUCCCCUCCUCCUCCAUCGCCAUCUCCCCCUCCACCAUACUAUUACAAGUCACCACCGCCACCAUCCCCAUCACCUCCACCACCCUACUAUUACAAGUCUCCUUCUCCUCCAUCGCCUUCUCCCCUUCCCCCAUACUACUACAAGUCCCCUCCUCCACCAUCCCCAUCACCACCUCCACCCUACUACUACAAGUCUCCUCCUCCUCCAUCGCCUUCUCCCCUUCCCCCAUACUACUACAAGUCCCCUCCUCCACCAUCCCCAUCACCACCUCCACCCUACUACUAUAAGUCGCCUCCUCCACCAUCACCUUCUCCACCACCUCCCUACUACUACCACUCUCCACCUCCACCAGUAAAGUCUCCUCCUCCUCCUUAUUACUACAGCUCACCACCACCACCAGUGAAAUCACCUCCUCCACCCGUAUAUAUUUAUGCUUCCCCACCUCCUCCAGUCCACUACUAAGAGUUUCCAGCAGUUCAGCCAUUCUCCGCGCUCAAUCAAGUGAGUAGUUGUUUAAAUUAGUAAAAAAAAUUUCAUAUGAGAUCAACUUUUUUUCAUUACAGCUCUAAUCUUCUAUUUGAUUGUUUCUUUUCAGAUUUUAGUUGGAAACACAAAUUAAAUGAUGGCUUCUUGAGGAAAAGAUUCAAACAUCAAUGGAACAAAGCAAUUAACUUAUGGAAUAAGACAUUCAAUUUUUCAAUUGAAGGAUUGAUUUUUAGUUACAUGGACCAGUUUGGUUCUACUUCUCUUUUAGCCUUCUUGCACAUUGUUCUCUUAGUGCGUUCACACAUGAACGUAUCUAAGCUUUGAUGCUUUUUAGAGUUCAUUUCUUCGUAAUUUAUUGUUUUAUAUUGAGGACCACUGUCCUCAUUUUAUUCAUUCCUAUUAAUUAUUGUAUGUUGUUCUUUUGUAAUACCUUCAUGUACUUUGUGCACAAAUCAAUAAAAAGAUCAAUUUCAUUACAUUCACUUUCUUUUCUUUCUUCUGCAUCUUUCCCCUCUUCACAAAUGUUACAAACAAAUUAAAUUAAUCUUCUCCAAAUAUAUCUAAGCAAAUUGGAGAUGAAAAUACCUACAAUUAUUUUAAGAUAUUUAAUAGUUUAAUGUAGAAGUAGUUCAUGACAUAACUAUAAGUAAAACACCUAAAAAACACCUCUGUGUUACCACAAUGAACUAGUUACUUCUUACCAAAAUGGAAGAAAAGCCAUUUUCCUUUUUCUUGUUUUAGUGUGGCAACAGAAAUUUUAACUGUUGCCUCCACAUGCAGUUGAUCUCAUCAUUGAGCAUUCACACGAAUUUCUAAAGAUUAUUAUAAUGAAGAGAUUAAGAAGGCUAUAAUAUGAUGCUUUGAAUAGUAACCAAAAAUGAAUGAAAAUAUCAAAAUACUUUUGAAUAACUUAUUUCAUGAACUGAUGCUUCUGAAAUAAAUAAUAAAACAUUUCAGAAUAAAGAAAAUUUGUCAAACUUAUUUUUCAAUAACAUAAAUACUCUUGGUAUGUUGUUUACACUGGCCUCCCAUACCACUUGUCAGAUUACACUUAGUAUGUUGUUCUUGUUGUUGUAAACUCGGAUUUGGUGAAACAAUUCAAUGUCAAAAAAAAAAAAACAUCAUUUCAGUUGGCAACAUAUAAUUUAAAGCAAUCAAUAUACAUAUUUGUAAUUUAUAAACCAUGUGUCCAUCAGACCAUCUCAGUAAAAAAGGUUUUUUUAAGUUAUCAAGGUUAUUGCGACCAACUAGUGAUCCAAAAGAAAAUAAAUCAUCUAUUCGCUAACAAAUUGAAGAUUUUCACCAUGCUUGAGAUCAGUUGGUACAAGAGUAUCACACUUAGGUUUCGAAUAUGUUGAGCAUUUCACAUAGCGCAUUUGGUAAUAGUUGGUACAAGAUUCAGGCAAUGCCACACCUUAGCAUUUACCAGUAAUAAACUCUAUCAAUGCCAGCGUUGUUUUAUACCAGCUAGCUUGAGUCCGCGUCAGAGAAUAUACAUAUCCUGUCUCCUCUACAGAUCAGCAGGAAAGUAAAACAGGGGAAAAGAUAUUAAUUAAUUUGGCUAAAUAAGUCAAAGUUGCUGCAAUUAUUUGUAAAUGCAGGACACCACAUGAUUUAAUAUCAUAGAAUAUAUGCACUAGCUUUUUUCUAGAAAUUUUCAAACUUAUAAGUUUUUAAAGGUGAUAUAGAGAUAUGCUUAUCAGCCCACACCCUGGCAAUUGAAAACAAAAUGGCAAGAGAGUGGAAGUAUUAAAGAAUAGCACUUUCUUUCCUUUAAGCCAUUACAUGGCAUGUGUUUUUGUGUGCUUCAUAUGGUGUGUUCCCAUAUACAGCAAGUAACAAACUACUUAUUGAAAAGAAAAUGUAGAAAUAUACAAAGUGAUACAGAGAUGGACUUUAAUAAAUAAGAUGACAACUUGUAGAUCCAGCUGGUAAGAACUAUUAAUAUUCUUUUUGCACUUUGAUUAUCAAUUAGAGCAAUUGAAUUGGUCCUUUAGACAGCUCUUUACUAACAACUACUUCUAAAGGUGUGUUACUAUAAAUGCAUAGGCCAAUGAAUCCCCAAAGUGCAUCAGUUCUCAACAGUAAAAACUAAAAGUUGUCUCUUUUACUCUUCAGUUAACUAGCCACAUUUGGAGGCUAGGUGGUAUAAUUAUCCGGCGAAAUGAGAAUUCAAGGUGGCGGCCCUGCCAAGGGUCGUCAAUAUUUGUCACAAAUUUUAGUGGCAUUGGCCAUUUUGGCUGUUGCUAAUAUAGUAUCGGCAGAUCCUUAUGUAUACUCUUCGCCUCCACCUCCACCGUAUGUGUACAAGUCACCACCACCUCCUUCUCCUUCUCCACCACCACCUUAUGUGUACAAAUCUCCACCUCCUCCAUCACCUUCUCCCCCGCCUCCAUAUGUUUAUAAGUCACCUCCUCCUCCUUCUCCACCUCCACCUCCACCAUAUGUGUAUAAGUCUCCACCGCCUCCAUCGCCAUCUCCACCUCCACCAUAUUACUACAAGUCCCCUCCUCCACCAUCACCUUCACCACCACCACCAUAUUACUACAAGUCUCCACCUCCACCUUCACCAUCACCUCCACCACCAUAUUAUUACAAAUCUCCACCACCGCCCUCACCAUCACCACCACCACCAUACUAUUAUAAGUCUCCACCGACACCUUCUCCUUCACCUCCUCCACCAUACUCCUAUAAAUCUCCACCACCUCCUUCACCAUCUCCUCCGCCACCUUAUUACUACAAGUCUCCACCUCCUCCAUCUCCAUCACCACCACCACCAUAUUAUUACAAGUCUCCUCCUCCACCAUCCCCAUCACUACCCCCACCUUACUUCUACAAGUCUCCACCUCCACCGGCUAAGUCACCUCCUCCCCCAUACUACUACAGUUCUCCACCACCAGCAGUGAAGUCUCCCCCUCCACCAUAUUACUACUACUCACCACCACCACCAAAGAAAUCACCUCCCCCACCAUAUCACUAUACUUCUCCACCACCACCUGUUAAGUCACCGCCUCCUCCAUACUAUUACAGCUCCC
RNAcentral lists this long non-coding RNA (17038 nucleotides) under Capsicum annuum. RNAcentral's name for it is "long non-coding RNA (CANN_LNC018310)". Lineage: Eukaryota; Viridiplantae; Streptophyta; Magnoliopsida; Solanales; Solanaceae. The record is from RNAcentral.